UACGAAGGGGGCUAGCGUUGUUCGGAAUCACUGGGCGUAAAGCGCACGUAGGCGGAUCCUUAAGUCAGGGGUGAAAUGCCGAGGCUCAACCUCGGAACUGCCUUUGAUACUGGGGAUCUCGAGUCCGGGAGAGGUGAGUGGAAUUGCGAGUGUAGAGGUGAAAUUCGUAGAUAUUCGCAAGAACACCAGUGGCGAAGGCGGCGCUCUGGACCGAGACUGACGCUGAGGCGCGAAAGCGUGGGGAGCAAACAGG
RNAcentral lists this ribosomal RNA (253 nucleotides) under uncultured bacterium. Its description in RNAcentral is "partial 16S ribosomal RNA". It matches the Rfam family "Bacterial small subunit ribosomal RNA", at positions 524 to 776 of the family's 1533-position model. The record is from RNAcentral.